CCUACGGGAGGCAGCAGUGAGGAAUAUUGGUCAAUGGGCGCGAGCCUGAACCAGCCAAGUAGCGUGAAGGAUGACUGCCCUACGGGUCGUAAACUUCUUUUAUAAGGGAAUAAAGUGAGGCACGUGUGCCUUUUUGUAUGUACUUUAUGAAUAAGGAUCGGCUAACUCCGUGCCAGCAGCCGCGGUAAUACGGGGGAUCCGAGCGUUAUCCGGAUUUAUUGGGUUUAAAGGGUGCGUAGGUGGGUUGUUAAGUCAGUUGGUAAAGUUCGCGGCUCAACCGUAAAAUUGCAAUUGAUACUGGCAGCCUUGAGUACAGUUGAGGUAGGCGGAAUUCGUGGUGUAGCGGUGAAAUGCUUAGAUAUCACGAAGAACUCCGAUUGCGAAGGCAGCUUACUAGACUGACACUGACACUGAUGCACGAAAGUGUGGGUAUCAAACAGGAUUAGAUACCCGUGUAGUC
This 460-nucleotide ribosomal RNA is filed under the name uncultured bacterium. Its description in RNAcentral is "partial 16S ribosomal RNA". It matches the Rfam family "Bacterial small subunit ribosomal RNA", at positions 338 to 795 of the family's 1533-position model. The record is from RNAcentral.